This 434-nucleotide ribosomal RNA is filed under the name uncultured prokaryote. RNAcentral describes it as "bacterial SSU rRNA". It matches the Rfam family "Bacterial small subunit ribosomal RNA", at positions 342 to 791 of the family's 1533-position model. The record is from RNAcentral.
CGGGGGGCAGCAGUGGGGAAUUUUCUGCAAUGGGCGAAAGCCUGACAGAGCAAUACCGCGUGGAGGAUGAAGGCGUACGCGUUGUAAACUCCUUUUCCCAGGGAAGAAGAUCUGACAUUACCUGGGGAAUAAGCAUCGGCUAACCCUGUGCCAGCAGCCGCGGUAAUACAGGGGAUGCAAGUGUUAUCCGGAAUCAUUGGGCGUAAAGCGUCUGCAGGUGGAUAGAUUAGUCUUUUGUUAAAUCUUCGAGCUUAACUCGGAGCUUGCAAAAGAAACUCUCUAUCUCGAGUUAAGUAGAGGGAAAGGGAAUUUCCAGUGGAGCGGUGAAAUGCGUAGAGAUUGGAAGGAACACCAAAAGCGAAGGCACUUUCCUGGGCUUCGACUGACACUCAGAGACGAAAGCUAAGGGAGCAAACAGGAUUAGAUACCCCAGU